GGGCCGGUAGCUCAGCUGGAAGAGCGUUCGGUUCGCAACCGAAAGGUCCCGGGUUCAAAUCCCGGCCGGUCCA
This 73-nucleotide transfer RNA is filed under the name Acidianus brierleyi. It matches the Rfam family "tRNA". Rfam says of the family: Transfer RNA (tRNA) molecules are approximately 80 nucleotides in length. Their secondary structure includes four short double-helical elements and three loops (D, anti-codon, and T loops). Lineage: Archaea; Thermoproteati; Thermoproteota; Thermoprotei; Sulfolobales; Sulfolobaceae. The record is from Rfam by way of RNAcentral.